This 468-nucleotide ribosomal RNA is filed under the name uncultured Alphaproteobacteria bacterium. RNAcentral's name for it is "bacterial SSU rRNA". It matches the Rfam family "Bacterial small subunit ribosomal RNA", at positions 9 to 524 of the family's 1533-position model. The record is from RNAcentral. Lineage: Bacteria; Pseudomonadati; Pseudomonadota; Alphaproteobacteria.
GAGUUUGAUCAUGGCUCAGAGCGAACGCUGGCGGCAGGCCUAACACAUGCAAGUCGAACGGAUCCUUCGGGAUUAGUGGCGGACGGGUGAGUAACACGUGGGAACGUGCCCUUUGGUUCGGAAUAACUCAGGGAAACCUGAGCUAAUACCGGAUGUGCCCUUCGGGGAAAGAUUUAUCGCCAUUGGAGCGGCCCGCGUCUGAUUAGCUUGUUGGUGAGGUAAAGGCUCACCAAGGCGACGAUCAGUAGCUGGUCUGAGAGGAUGAUCAGCCACACUGGGACUGAGACACGGCCCAGACUCCUACGGGAGGCAGCAGUGGGGAAUCUUGCGCAAUGGGCGAAAGCCUGACGCAGCCAUGCCGCGUGAAUGAUGAAGGUCUUAGGAUUGUAAAAUUCUUUCACCGGGGACGAUAAUGACGGUACCCGGAGAAGAAGCCCCGGCUAACUUCGUGCCAGCAGCCGCCGUAAU